This 499-nucleotide ribosomal RNA is filed under the name uncultured bacterium. Its description in RNAcentral is "partial 16S ribosomal RNA". It matches the Rfam family "Bacterial small subunit ribosomal RNA", at positions 28 to 507 of the family's 1533-position model. The record is from RNAcentral.
GACGAACGCUGGCGGCGUGCCUAAUACAUGCAAGUCGAGCGAAGUUUUUUUGGUGCUUGCUCCUGACAAACUUAGCGGCGAACGGGUGAGUAACACGUAAAGAACCUGCCUCAUAGACUGGGACAACAAUUGGAAACGAUAGCUAAUACCGGAUAACAGUAUUUCUCGCAUGAGAGGUAUUUAAAAGUUGGUUAUGCUAACACUAUCUGAUGGUUUUGCGGUGCAUUAGCUGGUUGGUGGGGUAAAGGCCCACCAAGGCGUGGAUGGAUAGCGGACCUGAGGGAGUGACGGCCAACACGGGAACGGAGCCACGGCCCAGACUCCUACGGAGGGAGGCAGUGGGGAAUCUUCCGCAAUGAGCGAAGGCCUACCGAGGCAACGCGGGUGGAUGGAAGAAGCAUUCCGGUUGGUAAGGCUCGGUUGUCGGGAAGAAAGGGAUAUUUGGUAACAGUACGAGUAAUAGACGGUACCGAAAUAGAAAGCCACGGCUAACUACGUG